GCGGUUGUGGCGGAACUGGCAGACGCGUACGUUUGAGGGGCGUAUGGUGAUACCGUAUGGGUUCAAGUCCCAUCAACCGCACCA
RNAcentral lists this transfer RNA (84 nucleotides) under Clostridiaceae bacterium. RNAcentral's name for it is "tRNA-Leu". It matches the Rfam family "tRNA". Rfam says of the family: Transfer RNA (tRNA) molecules are approximately 80 nucleotides in length. Their secondary structure includes four short double-helical elements and three loops (D, anti-codon, and T loops). Further hydrogen bonds mediate the characteristic L-shaped molecular structure. tRNAs have two regions of fundamental functional importance: the anti-codon, which is responsible for specific mRNA codon recognition, and the 3' end, to which the tRNAs corresponding amino acid is attached (by aminoacyl-tRNA synthetases). tRNAs cope with the degeneracy of the genetic code in two manners: having more than one tRNA (with a specific anti-codon) for a particular amino acid; and 'wobble' base-pairing, i.e. permitting non-standard base-pairing at the 3rd anti-codon position. The record is from RNAcentral. Lineage: Bacteria; Bacillati; Bacillota; Clostridia; Eubacteriales; Clostridiaceae.